This 517-nucleotide ribosomal RNA is filed under the name Camallanidae gen. sp. 1 MS-2018. RNAcentral describes it as "SSU rRNA". It matches the Rfam family "Eukaryotic small subunit ribosomal RNA", at positions 81 to 576 of the family's 1831-position model. The record is from RNAcentral. Lineage: Eukaryota; Metazoa; Nematoda; Chromadorea; Rhabditida; Camallanidae.
GUGAAACCGCGAACGGCUCAUUACAACAGCCAUAAUAUACUUGAUGUUGAUUUUCCACGUGGAUAACUGUGGUAAUUCUAGAGCUAAUACAUGCACCAAAGCUCUGAUUUUUUGACGAGCGCAUCUAUUAGACCAAAAACCAAUCGAGAUUAUUCGUGCAUUCGUGCUCGAACUUCUCGUAACUUUGGUGACUCUGAAUAGCUUAGCUGAUCGCAUGGUCUCGCACCGGCGACGUAUCUAUCAAGUGUCUGCCUUAUCAACUUUCGAUGGUAGUUUAUAUGCCUACCAUGGUUGUAACGGGUAACGGAGAAUAAGGGUUCGACUCCGGAGAGGGAGCCUGAGAAACGGCUACCACAUCCAAGGAAGGCAGCAGGCGCGCAAAUUACCCACUCUCAGCACGAGGAGGUAGUGACGAAAAAUAACGAGACCGUUCUCUUCGAGGCCGGUUAUCGGAAUGAGUACAACUUAAAGCCGUUAAUAAGGAUCUAUGAGAGGGCAAGUCUGGUGCCAGCACCCG